This 440-nucleotide ribosomal RNA is filed under the name uncultured bacterium. RNAcentral describes it as "partial 16S ribosomal RNA". It matches the Rfam family "Bacterial small subunit ribosomal RNA", at positions 338 to 795 of the family's 1533-position model. The record is from RNAcentral.
CCUACGGGAGGCAGCAGUAGGGAAUAUUGCACAAUGGGGGGAACCCUGAUGCAGCAACGCCGCGUGGGUGAAGAAGUACUUCGGUAUGUAAAGCCCUGUCAGCAGGGAAGAAAAUGACGGUACCUGACCAAUAAGCCCCGGCUAACUACGUGCCAGCAGCCGCGGUAAUACGUAAGGGGCAAGCUUUAUCCGGAUUUACUGGGUGUAAAGGGUGCGUUGACGGAAAUGCAAGUCUGGUGUGAAAGCCGGUGGUGAAACCACGGGACUGCUUUGGAAACUGUGUUGCUGGAGUGCAGGAGGGGUAAGCGGAAUUACUAGUGUAGCGGUGAAAUGCGUAGAUAUUAGGAGGAACACCGGUGGCGAAGGCGGCUUACUGGACUGUAACUGACGUUGAGGCUCGAAGGCGUGGGGAGCAAACAGGAUUAGAUACCCCUGUAGUG